This 458-nucleotide ribosomal RNA is filed under the name uncultured bacterium. RNAcentral describes it as "partial 16S ribosomal RNA". It matches the Rfam family "Bacterial small subunit ribosomal RNA", at positions 338 to 795 of the family's 1533-position model. The record is from RNAcentral.
CCUACGGGAGGCAGCAGUGAGGAAUAUUGGUCAAUGGGCGAGAGCCUGAACCAGCCAAGUCGCGUGAGGGAGUACUGCCCUCUGGGUUGUAAACCUCUUUUGUCGGGGAGCAAAAGCCGGACGUGUCCGGCUGUGAGAGUACCCGAAGAAAAAGCAUCGGCUAACUCCGUGCCAGCAGCAGCGGUAAUACGGGGAAUGCGUGGGUUAUCCGGCUUUAUUGGGUUUAAUGGGUGCGCAGGCGGAUUUUUAAGUCAGCGGUAAAAUCGUGGGGCUCAACCCCAUCCAGCCGUUGAAACUGGGGAUCUAGAGUGUGCGAGAGGUAGGCGGAAUGCGUGGUGUAGCGGUGAAAUGCAUAGAUAUCACGCAGAACCCCGAUUGCGAAGGCAGCAGACCGGUGCACAACUGACGCUCAGGCACGAAAGCGUGGGUAUCGAACAGGAUUAGAUACCCGUGUAGUC